RNAcentral lists this ribosomal RNA (500 nucleotides) under uncultured bacterium. Its description in RNAcentral is "partial 16S ribosomal RNA". It matches the Rfam family "Bacterial small subunit ribosomal RNA", at positions 30 to 523 of the family's 1533-position model. The record is from RNAcentral.
AUUGAACGCUGGCGGCAUGCUUUACACAUGCAAGUCGAACGGUAACAGGGUGCUUGCACCGCUGACGAGUGGCGAACGGGUGAGUAAUGCGUCGGAACGUGCCGAGUAGUGGGGGAUAACGCUGCGAAAGUUGUGCUAAUACCGCAUACGUACUGAGGUAGAAAGUGGGGGACCUUCGGGCCUCACGCUAUUCGAGCGGCCGACGUCUGAUUAGCUAGUAGGUGAGGUAAAGGCUCACCUAGGCGACGAUCAGUAGCGGGUCUGAGAGGAUGAUCCGCCAGACUGGGACUGAGACACGGCCCAGACUCCUACGGGAGGCAGCAGUGGGGAAUUUUGGACAAUGGGCGAAAGCCUGAUCCAGCCAUGCCGCGUGUCUGAAGAAGGCCUUCGGGUUGUAAAGGACUUUUGUCAGGGAGGAAAUCCCUAGUGCUAAUAACACUGGGGGAUGACAGUACCUGAAGAAUAAGCACCGGCUAACUACGUGCCAGCCGCCGCCGUAA